CCAGACUCCUACGGGAGGCAGCAGUGGGGGAUAUUGCACAAUGGGGGAAACCCUGAUGCAGCGACGCCGCGUGAGUGAAGAAGUAAUUCGUUACGUAAAGCUCUAUCAGCAGGGAAGAAAAUGACGGUACCUGACUAAGAAGCCCCGGCUAACUACGUGCCAGCAGCCGCGGUAAUACGUAGGGGGCAAGCGUUAUCCGGAUUUACUGGGUGUAAAGGGAGCGUAGACGGCAUGGCAAGUCUGAUGUGAAAACCCGGGGCUCAACCCCGGGACUGCAUUGGAAACUGUCAGGCUAGAGUGUUGGAGAGGCAAGUGGAAUUCCUAGUGUAGCGGUGAAAUGCGUAGAUAUUAGGAGGAACACCAGUGGCGAAGGCGGCUUGCUGGACGAUGACUGACGUUGAGGCUCGAAAGCGUGGGGAGCAAACAGGAUUAGAUACCCUUGUA
RNAcentral lists this ribosomal RNA (444 nucleotides) under uncultured bacterium. Its description in RNAcentral is "bacterial SSU rRNA". It matches the Rfam family "Bacterial small subunit ribosomal RNA", at positions 331 to 792 of the family's 1533-position model. The record is from RNAcentral.